AUUCUUAAUAGGAAUGUAUUCCAAAAAGAAAUAUGAAGAAAAUAGUAAGUAAUAGAAAAACAUAGCAUUUUUAUAAUACCACUGAAUCAAUUCUUUGACCGAUAACAAUAUCAUGUUGUCUGAAGGCAGAUAUUUUAUGCUCUUCUCUCUCUUGGCUACCCGAGUGUUCUAUGGCUUAUGCUGAGUCCAUUUGAUGAACUGAAAAAAUACUGUAGUUGCCUCCAGCCUUGCAUACCUCUACUGAUUUGCAUGUAGCCAAAGCACAGCCCACCUCUGUGAAGAUUUCAUGAAAGGAUGUUUACACUAUGUGCAGAAGCCAUUCUCAGUGAGGAUACAGCAUCAACAUGAGUGUUCUCCCUGAACUCCUAGCGCUGCUACUGCUCUGGUUUUCAGGUAUGAGAUGUGAUAUCCAGAUGAACCAGACUCCAUCCACUCUAUCUGUAUCUAUUGGAGAACGAGUAAUUAUAAAUUGCCAUGCCAGUGAGAACAUUAAUAGUUGGUUAUCCUGGCACCAGCAGAAACCAGGGAAUGCUCCACAACUACUCAUCUAUAAGGCAUCCAACUACCAUACUUGGGUUCCAUCAAGGUUCAGUGGCAGUGGAUCUGGAACAGAUUACUCUCUCAGCAGCAGCAGCCUCCAGCCUGAAGACAUUGCUACUUACUACUCUGUACAGGCUAAGAGUCUUCCUCCCACAGUGAUAAAAGUGAUAACACAAACCAAGUGGGUCAACAUUGUAAGUCUGUUCUGCAUCAGUUGUCGCACGUAG
Non-coding RNA from Rattus norvegicus (Norway rat), 767 nucleotides. Lineage: Eukaryota; Metazoa; Chordata; Mammalia; Rodentia; Muridae. The record is from the annotation of a RefSeq genome assembly.